AGAGUUUGAUCCUGGCUCAGGACGAACGCUGGCGGCGUGCUUAACACAUGCAAGUCGAGCGGAAAGGCCCUUCGGGGUACUCGAGCGGCGAACGGGUGAGUAACACGUGAGCAACCUGCCCCUGGCUCUGGGAUAGCCUCCGGAAACGGGGAUUAAUACCGGAUAUGACCUGGGUUCUCCUGGACCCGGGUGGAAAGUUUUUCGGCCAGGGCGGGGCUCGCGGCCUAUCAGCUUGUUGGGGGGGUGACGGCCCACCAAGGCGACGACGGGUAGCCGGCCUGAGAGGGCGACCGGCCACACUGGGACUGAGACACGGCCCAGACUCCUACGGGAGGCAGCAGUGGGGAAUAUUGCGCAAUGGGCGGAAGCCUGACGCAGCGACGCCGCGUGGGGGAUGAAGGCCUUCGGGUUGUAAACCUCUUUCAGCAGGGACGAAGCGUGAGUGACGGUACCUGCAGAAGAAGCGCCGGCUAACUACGUGCCAGCAGCCGCGGUAAUACGUAGGGCGCAAGCGUUGUCCGGAUUUAUUGGGCGUAAAGAGCUCGUAGGCGGCCUGUCGCGUCUGCUGUGAAAUCCCGGGGCUUAACCCCGGGCGUGCAGUGGAUACGGGCUGGCUGGAGGCAGGCAGGGGAGAAUGGAAUUCCCGGUGUAGCGGUGAAAUGCGCAGAUAUCGGGAGGAACACCGGUGGCGAAGGCGGUUCUCUGGGCCUGUUCUGACGCUGAGGAGCGAAAGCGUGGGGAGCGAACAGGAUUAGAUACCCCAGUAGUCC
RNAcentral lists this ribosomal RNA (770 nucleotides) under uncultured bacterium. RNAcentral describes it as "bacterial SSU rRNA". It matches the Rfam family "Bacterial small subunit ribosomal RNA", at positions 8 to 796 of the family's 1533-position model. The record is from RNAcentral.